RNAcentral lists this ribosomal RNA (897 nucleotides) under uncultured bacterium. RNAcentral describes it as "bacterial SSU rRNA". It matches the Rfam family "Bacterial small subunit ribosomal RNA", at positions 99 to 1026 of the family's 1533-position model. The record is from RNAcentral.
CGCACGGCUGAGUAACACGUGGGAACCCGCCCCCCGGUGGGGGAUAACGCGACGAAAGUUGCGCUAAUCCCGCAUACGUCCUUCGGGGGAAAGCGCAGUGCGCGCCGGGGGAGGGGCCCGCGGCCCAUCAGGUCGUUGGUGGGGUAAGGGCCUACCAAGCCGAUGACGGGUAGCUGGUCUGGGAGGAUGACCAGCCAGACUGGGACUUAGACACGGUCCAGACUCCUACGGGAGGCAGCAGCAAGGAAUUUUCGGCAAUGGGCGCAAGCUGACCGAGCAACGCCGCGUGCGGGAUGACGGCCUUCGGGUUGUAUACCGCUUUUCGGGGGGACGACCCUGACGGUACCCCCGGAACAAGCCCCGGCUAACUCUGUGCCAGCAGCCGCGGUAAGACAGAGGGGGCGAGCGUUGUCCGGAGUCACUGGGCGUAAAGCGCGCGCAGGCGGCAACCUAAGUGUCGUGUGAAAGCCCCCGGCUCAACCGGGGGAGGCCAUGGCAAACUGGGUCGCUCGAGCUGCGGAGAGGCCCCUCGAAUUGCCGGUGUAGCGGUGAAAUGCGUAGAGAUCGGCAGGAAGACCAAGGGGGAAGCCAGGGGGCUGGCCGCAGCUGACGCUGAGGCGCGACAGCGUGGGGAGCAAACCGGAUUAGAUACCCGGGUAGUCCACGCCGUAAACGAUGACCACUCGGCGUGCGGCGACUAUUGACGUCGCGGCGCGCCCUAGCUCACGCGAUAAGUGGUCCGCCUGGGAACUACGAGCGCAAGCUUAAAACUCAGAGGAAUUGACGGGGGCCCGCACAAGCAGCGGAGCGUGUGGUUUAAUUCGACGCAACCCGAAGAACCUUACCCAGACUGGACAUGACGGUGCAGACGGCGGAAACGUCGUCGCCUGCGAGGGC